Molecule: unclassified non-coding RNA, 391 nt
Filed under: soil metagenome
Description: partial contains 5.8S ribosomal RNA, internal transcribed spacer 2, and large subunit ribosomal RNA
Rfam family: 5.8S ribosomal RNA (bases 1-122)
Source: RNAcentral
GAUGAAGAACGCAGCGAAAUGCGAUACUUGGUGUGAAUUGCAGAAUCCCGUGAACCAUCGAGUCUUUGAACGCAAGUUGCGCCCGAAGCCACUAGGCCGAGGGCACGCCUGCCUGGGCGUCACACGCCGUUGCCCCCCCAUCUACUCCUUCGGGAUUGCGGGGGGGCGGAUGAUAGCCUCCCGUGCGCCUAGCCGCGCGGUUGGCAUAAAUACCAAGUCCUCGGCGACGCACGCCACGACAAUCGGUGGUUGCGAAACCUCGGUUGCCCGUCGUGUGCGUUCGUCGCGCAUCGAGGGCUCGAAAAAAUGCUCGGCUCCGGCUGGGCUUUCAACGCGACCCCAGGUCAGGCGGGGUUACCCGCUGAAUUUAAGCAUAUCAAUAAGCGGAGGA